GAUGAACGCUGGCGGCGUGCCUAAUACAUGCAAGUCGAGCGAACAGAUAAGGAGCUUGCUCCUUUGACGUUAGCGGCGGACGGGUGAGUAACACGUGGGUAACCUAUCUAUAAGACUGGAAUAACUCCGGGAAACCGGGGCUAAUGCCGGAUAACAUGUUGAACCGCAUGGUUCUACAGUGAAAGGCGGCUUUGCUGUCACUUAUAGAUGGACCCGCGCCGUAUUAGCUAGUUGGUGGGGUAACGGCUCACCAAGGCAACGAUACGUAGCCGACCUGAGAGGGUGAUCGGCCACACUGGAACUGAGACACGGUCCAGACUCCUACGGGAGGCAGCAGUAGGGAAUCUUCCGCAAUGGGCGAGAGCCUGACGGAGCAACGCCGCGUGAGUGAUGAAGGUCUUCGGAUCGUAAAACUCUGUUAUUAGGGAAGAACAAAUGCGUAAGUAGCUGUGCGCGUCUUGACGGUACCUAAUCAGAAAGCCACGGCUAACUACGUG
This 497-nucleotide ribosomal RNA is filed under the name uncultured bacterium. RNAcentral's name for it is "partial 16S ribosomal RNA". It matches the Rfam family "Bacterial small subunit ribosomal RNA", at positions 28 to 507 of the family's 1533-position model. The record is from RNAcentral.